This is a non-coding RNA of Paramuricea clavata, 324 nucleotides long. NCBI's taxonomy places the organism in Eukaryota, Metazoa, Cnidaria, Anthozoa, Malacalcyonacea, Plexauridae. The record is from the annotation of a GenBank genome assembly.
GUCAGUACUCUCCCCCUGAUGAGUAAAUAGUCUAGUGUUAGACAGUAAAAUAAUCUGGCGUUAGGCAGAGUGAAAUAAUAGACAACUGGUUUAUCAUUUAAGCAUAGAUAACUGGUUGAUCAGUAGAAAUCCUUGCAAUGCAUCACACAGUAGUCAAUACAUUUAUAUAUAGUGUCAUGAUAGUGCUGAAUCGCCUCCAUUUCAUUCUCUACAAUGCUAUCACUGGGUGCUUCUUCCAUCAUUUGGUGUGCAUGAAUGUGUGUCAGGGCAAACAGGAUUUAUUGGUAAAUUAAAACAGCUACAAUCAGUUGGCUGAUGUAAUUC